ACACAUGCAAGUCGAACGGUAACAGGAAGAAGCUUGCUUCUUUGCUGACGAGUGGCGGACGGGUGAGUAAUGUCUGGGAAACUGCCUGAUGGAGGGGGAUAACUACUGGAAACGGUAGCUAAUACCGCAUAACGUCGCAAGACCAAAGAGGGGGACCUUCGGGCCUCUUGCCAUCGGAUGUGCCCAGAUGGGAUUAGCUAGUAGGUGGGGUAACGGCUCACCUAGGCGACGAUCCCUAGCUGGUCUGAGAGGAUGACCAGCCACACUGGAACUGAGACACGGUCCAGACUCCUACGGGAGGCAGCAGUGGGGAAUAUUGCACAAUGGGCGCAAGCCUGAUGCAGCCAUGCCGCGUGUAUGAAGAAGGCCUUCGGGUUGUAAAGUACUUUCAGCGGGGAGGAAGGGAGUAAAGUUAAUACCUUUGCUCAUUGACGUUACCCGCAGAAGAAGCACCGGCUAACUCCGUGCCAGCAGCCGCGGUAAUACGGAGAGUGCAAGCGUUAAUCGGAAUUACUGGGCGUAAAGCGCACGCAGGCGGUUUGUUAAGUCAGAUGUGAAAUCCCCGGGCUCAACCUGGGAACUGCAUCUGAUACUGGCAAGCUUGAGUCUCGUAGAGGGGGGUAGAAUUCCAGGUGUAGCGGUGAAAUGCGUAGAGAUCUGGAGGAAUACCGGUGGCGAAGGCGGCCCCCUGGACGAAGACUGACGCUCAGGUGCGAAAGCGUGGGGAGCAAACAGGAUUAGAUACCCUGGUAGUCCACGCCGUAAACGAUGUCGACUUGGAGGUUGUGCCCUUGAGGCGUGGCUUCCGGAGCUAACGCGUUA
RNAcentral lists this ribosomal RNA (822 nucleotides) under uncultured bacterium. RNAcentral describes it as "bacterial SSU rRNA". It matches the Rfam family "Bacterial small subunit ribosomal RNA", at positions 51 to 862 of the family's 1533-position model. The record is from RNAcentral.